AAAUUGAAGAGUUUGAUCAUGGCUCAGAUUGAACGCUGGCGGCAGGCCUAACACAUGCAAGUCGAACGGUAACAGGAAGCAGCUUUCUGUUUUGCUGACGAGUGGAGGACGG
This 112-nucleotide ribosomal RNA is filed under the name Escherichia coli. RNAcentral describes it as "partial 16S ribosomal RNA". It matches the Rfam family "Bacterial small subunit ribosomal RNA", at positions 1 to 105 of the family's 1533-position model. The record is from RNAcentral. Lineage: Bacteria; Pseudomonadati; Pseudomonadota; Gammaproteobacteria; Enterobacterales; Enterobacteriaceae.